CCUGCUGGGAGCGACAGAACCCAAACUACGGGAGCAACGGCGGGCGCCAGGGAACCACACCUCGGAACGGUCCCAGGGGAGACCAGGAGGGCGGCUGGAGAGAGCCCAGGAAGCGGUCUGGGCCGCGGGCAAAAAACACACCACGACCAUCAUAAGCUUCGAGGUCAGUGGCCCCGGGAGCUGAAGAGGGGCCGCGGGGUGGGUGAACCGAGACCGAGAGGACAGAGAGUCGCAGACGCGACCCCGGGAGACGGAGAACAACGGGCAGCCUGGGCCCAUCUGCGGCGAAGGGGCCGGGCCCGGCAGGUACCUUGGCCGGCGGAGUCCAUGUUCGGGCGGCGUCCGGACCGCUGUCGCGGGCGCUAUGGGAGCCGAGCGGGCGGCGCCGGGAGAAGCUCGCCGCGUACACACUAGCCAGCGGAACUGCCUCAGCUCCGCGGCGUUUCGUAAUCCGCGAUGCGACGGCUACUUCCGCCCGGGCACGUGCUCCGCCUUCUUCCCGCCCCCACCAGUGAUAUCCAAUGAGAGUGCCGCUUGGCCCGUCCUGGUUUACCCGACUCAACCUGAUAGGCCGAAACUGCGGGCGAACCAGGAAAGGGAGGCGUGGUUCGGCGGGAAUCCAUUCCAGGUUGACUCCACCAGCGAGAAUCACAGGUAGAACGGUCAGAGUAGCGGGAGGACUGGGAAGGUGGGAAGUGGGAGGACCGUCCAACAUGGCGCUGUGGAAAGCCAGCGCAGGGCCCCAGGGGAUCUUCCGGGGCGGAUGCAGCUGCCUAGGAGUGCUGGGGCUCGCGCGCCUCGGCGGCUCAAACUCUGACCCCUUGAGAUCCUUUCCAGCCCGACCCCUUACUUUAGGGGUCAGCCUGCCCCCGGCGACCAGCGCUGCGCCCUCCCCACUCCACAGAUGAGGAAGCUGAGGUUAAAGUCACUUGCCCCAGGUCACUCCGCAAGUUGAAGCGCAACCAGGAUACUCUGGAACAGGAUGCCUGACUUCAGAGGAGAGGCGCGUAACCACCAGGCAACUGGCCCCACGAAAACAAGUCCCGCAACUUCCCUUCUUUGGCUCCUACUUGCUCCCGGAAGAAAAGCCUUAAACGGUAUUCAAGCCCUUUAGGAUCUGAUGUCCUAGGACUCCACUCUGGGCUUCCAGCCUGGGGUGGUACUGGUCCCUAGGCAUGGAAGCUCCUCCCACUGCCCCUUCCUUCACCCGGCCACCUCCUCCCACAGGUGUCUUCCUGGUACUCUUGCACAGGCCCGAGUCCCUUACCACCACGGCCUUAGCCUGCUCUCGUGCUCUCAGUAAUGUUUUCUCCAUUUGCUGCCUUUCAUUCUUUCCAGAGAUUCUUGCUCAACCCAACCAGGCCAGCCCGGGGACUAGGGACAUGUAGGGACAAUAGUCCCUGCUUCAGGCAGUUCAGGGCAGACCACAGAGAUGUGACAUUACAGACCAUUGUGAGCAGAGGCCUUGUCCCAUUCUGUGUUGCAUCCCUAAGCCAGGAACAAAGUCCAGCCCAGGCCUGGCUCCAGGGGACACGCAGUAGUAUCCUCUGGCCUGUGCAAGUGUAUCUGUAGCCUCACAUGCCACCAUGUGAGUCUGCAAUCUGUCUGUGAAUGCCCUGGUGUAGAAGCCAGGAGUUUGGAGGUGGGAGGGAGCCCUACAGAAUGAUAGCCAGUGCUAACUCCUGGGAAUGUCCAGCCACUAAGACCUGCCCACAGCCCUGCCAUGCCAAUGUCCUCCUUUUCACGGGAGCAGCUUGCACAGACUUUCAGCGCACAGCUGGCAUUGUCUUCCCAGGAGCCAUCCUGUAACCCAGGCCAGGUGAAGGGCUCCUCCCUGGGACCCCACAGCCCCGUUCCCAUCAUCCUUUUGUGGUGAUCAAGGCACCCAUCACACAGUAUUGCCAUAAACCGGGUCAGGUUAACCUUUCAUUCCCUUAGGAGCUGGGUGGGGGCAGCCAAAAGUAUUUGUAGGAGGAAGAGAGAAAGGAGGGGACAGAGCUAGGAAGAAUGGGAGGACGGUCAGAACGCCCCUGUGAAGGAAGGAGAGCACCAAGUCCCCGUGUUCUGCCUACCCUCCCCCAGACAGCAGAUCAGGAGCACCCCGCGCGCCCCCCCCCGCCCCGCCCCGCGUCGGCGCCGGCCCCCUGCAAUGGUUGGCGGUAUGGGGAGGUGAACCAAGAAGGCCAGGAGUUCAAGUGCGUGAUCCCCCACUGGGGCAUAUAGGUUACAGCCGCCAGGGCAACUGAAACUCCUCAGGCUCCAGAGGGCUGAAGUGAGUCGCCUC
RNAcentral lists this long non-coding RNA (2284 nucleotides) under Homo sapiens (human). Its description in RNAcentral is "HSALNT0270599". The record is from RNAcentral. Lineage: Eukaryota; Metazoa; Chordata; Mammalia; Primates; Hominidae.